This 495-nucleotide ribosomal RNA is filed under the name uncultured bacterium. RNAcentral describes it as "bacterial SSU rRNA". It matches the Rfam family "Bacterial small subunit ribosomal RNA", at positions 523 to 1016 of the family's 1533-position model. The record is from RNAcentral.
AUACGGAGGUCCCAAGCGUUGUUCGGAUUUACUGGGCGUAAAGGGUGCGUAGGUGGCCAGGAAAGUUUGAUGUGAAAGCUCCGAGCUCAACUCGGAAAAUGCAUUGAAUACUACUUGGCUUGAGGAUCGGAGGGGAGACUGGAAUUCUCGGUGUAGCAGUGAAAUGCGUAGAUAUCGGAAGGAACACCAGUGGCGAAGGCGACUCCCUGGAUUGAUACUGACACUGAGGUGCGAAAGCGUGGGGAGCAAACAGGAUCAGAUACCCUGGUAGUCCACGCCGUAAACGAUGUCAACUAGCCGUUGGGACACUUGAUGUCUUAGUGGCGCAGCUAACGCGAUAAGUUGACCGCCUGGGGAGUACGGUCGCAAGAUUAAACUCAAAGGAAUUGACGGGGACCCGCACAAGCAGUGGAGCAUGUGGUUUAAUUCGACGCAACGCGCAGAACCUUACCAGCGUUUGACAUGGAAAGUACCGGUUACAGAAUGGUAACCUUC